This 204-nucleotide long non-coding RNA is filed under the name Elaeis guineensis (African oil palm). RNAcentral's name for it is "long non-coding RNA (EGUI_LNC027886)". The record is from RNAcentral. Lineage: Eukaryota; Viridiplantae; Streptophyta; Magnoliopsida; Arecales; Arecaceae.
UGGGUUCACGACACUCGUAGCUCCCUUUCUCACUUCCUGAACCCUAGGCAGAAAUCCUAGGGUACACAAGAAAAACCUUGCGCCCACUUUCUCUUUUCUUUUCUCUUCUUUUCUUUUCUUUUCUCAUGCAGAGGGUCUAUCUGACACCCCUUUUUCUCUCUGAGAUCAUAUGUCACAUGCCCCACCUCAUUUCUUUUAAAACAG